UGCUUUACACAUGCAAGUCGAACGGCAGCAUAGAGAGCUUGCUCUCUGAUGGCGAGUGGCGAACGGGUGAGUAAUAUAUCGGAACGUGCCUAGUAAUGGGGAAUAACUAAUCGAAAGAUUAGCUAAUACCGCAUACGACCUACGGGUGAAAGCAGGGGAUCUUUGGACCUUGCGUUAUUAGAGCGGCCGAUAUCUGAUUAGCUAGUUGGUAGGGUAAAUGCCUACCAAGGCAACGAUCAGUAGCUGGUCUGAGAGGACGAUCAGCCACACUGGAACUGAGACACGGUCCAGACUCCUACGGGAGGCAGCAGUGGGGAAUUUUGGACAAUGGGGGCAACCCUGAUCCAGCCAUUCCGCGUGAGUGAAGAAGGCCUUCGGGUUGUAAAGCUCUUUCGCAAGAGAAGAAAACUUGCUAUCUAAUAAGUAGUAAGUAUGACGGUAUCUUGAUAAGAAGCACCGGCUAACUAUGUGCCAGCAGCCGCGGUAAUACAUAGGGUGCGAGCGUUAAUCGGAAUUACUGGGCGUAAAGCGUUCGCAGGCGGCUUUAUAAGUCAGAUGUGAAAUCCCCGAGCUCAACUUGGGAACUGCGUUUGAAACUGUAAAGCUAGAGUGUGUCAGAGGGGGGUAGAAUUCCAUGUGUAGCAGUGAAAUGCGUAGAUAUGUGGAGGAAUACCAAUGGCGAAGGCAGCCCCCUGGGAUAACACUGACGCUCAUGAACGAAAGCGUGGGGAGCAAACAGGAUUAGAUACCCUGGUAGUCCACGCCCUAAACGAUGUCUACUAGUUGUUGGUGGAGUAAAAUCCAUGAGUAACGCAGCUAACGCGUGAAGUAGACCGCCUGGGGAGUACGGU
RNAcentral lists this ribosomal RNA (851 nucleotides) under uncultured Methylophilaceae bacterium. RNAcentral describes it as "bacterial SSU rRNA". It matches the Rfam family "Bacterial small subunit ribosomal RNA", at positions 45 to 886 of the family's 1533-position model. The record is from RNAcentral. Lineage: Bacteria; Pseudomonadati; Pseudomonadota; Betaproteobacteria; Nitrosomonadales; Methylophilaceae.